RNAcentral lists this long non-coding RNA (477 nucleotides) under Nicotiana benthamiana. Its description in RNAcentral is "long non-coding RNA (NBEN_LNC005508)". The record is from RNAcentral. Lineage: Eukaryota; Viridiplantae; Streptophyta; Magnoliopsida; Solanales; Solanaceae.
CAGAGCGGACUUAUGAAACAAUGACGCUCUAGUUCCGUUGCGGGCAUAUACUGAUCUCGAGUCCUUUCUUCAUCUCUGCAAUUGAUGAUUUUCUUCUUUUGCAUCCGUAGAAAGUUCUCACAUUUCCUCUUUAUGUUUAUUUCUCUCAUUUUUUAUUUUCUGUUUUAGUGGGUUGUGAGGAUUUAUUUUUUGUUUUUCCUCUCCUUUACUGAGUCGGGGGUCGACUGGAAACAGCCUCUCUACCCUUUCGGGUAGGGGUAGGGGUUGUUGUUGUUGGGUUGUGAGGAUUUAUAUAUGGCCGAUCCAAUGGGUUCUCGCGUAAUAAAACAUGUGUGGGAGCUCAAUUUCACCCGGCCUAUAUGUAUAGUUAGGGCAGCCUCCUCAAGGUUUUGCACUUCUAUUCAUCGUGUUUUAAUGCACGGAUUCUGCCCUACAUUAUAACUCUAUCUUUUUUAAUCUCUCAACCAUGGCUUUCGG